Molecule: ribosomal RNA, 294 nt
Filed under: uncultured microorganism
Description: partial 16S ribosomal RNA
Rfam family: Bacterial small subunit ribosomal RNA
Source: RNAcentral
GUGCCAGCAGUCCGCGGUAAUACGUAGGGCGCAAGCGUUAUCCGGAAUUAUUGGGCGUAAAGAGCUCGUAGGCGGUUUGUCGCGUCUGCCGUGAAAGUCCGGGGCUCAACUCCGGAUCUGCGGUGGGUACGGGCAGACUAGAGUGAUGUAGGGGAGACUGGAAAUUCCUGGUGUAGCGGUGAAAUGCGCAGAUAUCAGGAGGAACACCGAUGGCGAAGGCAGGUCUCUGGGCAUUAACUGACGCUGAGGAGCGAAAGCAUGGGGAGCGAACAGGAUUAGAUACCCUGGUAGUCC